Molecule: ribosomal RNA, 229 nt
Filed under: uncultured bacterium
Lineage: Bacteria
Description: partial 16S ribosomal RNA
Rfam family: Bacterial small subunit ribosomal RNA
Source: RNAcentral
UGCGUAGGCGGAAUAAUAAGUCAGUGGUGAAAUCCUGCAGCUUAACUGUAGAACUGCCAUUGAUACUGUUAUUCUUGAGUAUAGUUGAGGUGGGCGGAAUGUGUCAUGUAGCGGUGAAAUGCUUAGAUAUGACACAGAACACCGAUUGCGAAGGCAGCUCACUAAACUAUCACUGACGCUGAGGCACGAAAGCGUGGGGAGCAAACAGGAUUAGAUACCCUGGUAGUCC